AGGUGUGCGUGUGAUCGAGCAGGAGAAAAGGGGAAGGGGUGUAAACCCUAACCCACAUGAAAUCAUCAAAUUGGAAAAGGAUUUGAGGGUUAAUUGGAUGCAUGAACCAAGAUUUAUGAUCACUCAAGCGUUCUUGACACCAAGAUAGGAAUCCCAAAUUGACAUGGACUCAAGUAUGGAAAGCUAACGGGUCAAGCGGAGGUGAGGAAGCAAGCAUGAACACUAACGCUUAAGGUACUACACGGACUUCUUCUGCUGCUAAGGAAGUGAAGCGGA
This is a long non-coding RNA of Helianthus annuus (common sunflower), 276 nucleotides long. RefSeq lists it as uncharacterized. The record is from RefSeq and is a predicted model, not a curated record. The transcript has 3 exons. Lineage: Eukaryota; Viridiplantae; Streptophyta; Magnoliopsida; Asterales; Asteraceae.